UCCGAGUUGACCCCGGCAGUCUCCUAUGAGUCCCCGGCAUUAUCCGCUGGCAACAUAGGACGAGGGUUGCGCUCGUUGCGGGACUUAACCCAACAUCUCACGACACGAGCUGACGACAGCCAUGCACCACCUGCACACCAGCCACAAGGGAACGCCUAUCUCUAGACGCGUCUGGCGCAUGUCAAACCCAGGUAAGGUUCUUCGCGUUGCAUCGAAUUGAUCCACAUCAUCCACCGCUUGUGCGGGUCCCCGUCAAUUCCUUUGAGUUUUAAUCUUGCGACCGUACUCCCCAGGCGGUCGACUUCACGCGUUAGCUGCGUUACCGAAGGAGUUACCCUCCGACAACUAGUCGACAUCGUUUAGGGCGUGGACUAC
This 375-nucleotide unclassified non-coding RNA is filed under the name uncultured bacterium. RNAcentral's name for it is "contains 16S-23S intergenic spacer region". The record is from RNAcentral.